RNAcentral lists this long non-coding RNA (199 nucleotides) under Nicotiana benthamiana. RNAcentral describes it as "long non-coding RNA (NBEN_LNC007476)". The record is from RNAcentral. Lineage: Eukaryota; Viridiplantae; Streptophyta; Magnoliopsida; Solanales; Solanaceae.
AUAUAUCAAUACUCCAGCACCUUUUCUUUUUAUGAUGGUGGUGUCCAAGACAGCUUCCGCACACCUUAGACCAUUCUUUUGGGUACCUCCCACCAAUACAAGUACCGGGUAACUCUGCCUGUCAAGGCUUAGACAACUAAGAAGAAAUCACCUAGUGUUUUGAACCUGAGACCUCAUGAUUCCCCUCCCACUUUAGUUC